This 719-nucleotide unclassified non-coding RNA is filed under the name Hevea brasiliensis (rubber tree). Lineage: Eukaryota; Viridiplantae; Streptophyta; Magnoliopsida; Malpighiales; Euphorbiaceae. The record is from RNAcentral.
GGCUUUUUCUUCGUCGGGAACUCUAUCUCUCACAAAGCUAAAAGCUACAAAUUUUCUUUCAAUUAUUGAUGGAGGCGGUGGCGUCAGGGUCAGUUGUUCCGGCGAACAGGAGGAGGCCGCCAAUGGAGGAGGACAGGUUAGUUUUCGAGACAUCCAAAGGUGUUGAACCAAUCACCAGUUUCGCUGAGAUGGGGAUUAAAGAUGACCUUCUUAGAGGGAUUUACCAAUACGGAUUUGAAAAACCAUCUGCUAUCCAACAACGGGCUGUCUUGCCCAUUAUAUCCGGCCGUGACGUCAUUGCACAGGCACAAUCCGGUACCGGAAAAACCUCCAUGAUUGCCCUUACCGUUUGCCAAGUUGUCGAUACCAAAAAUUCCGAGGUACAAGCAUUGAUAUUGUCUCCUACACGGGAGCUUGCAGCUCAGACAGAAAAGGUGAUUUUGGCUAUUGGAGAUUACAUUAACAUACAGGCACAUGCAUGUAUUGGAGGCAAAAGUGUGGGUGAAGAUAUCAGAAAGCUAGAGCAUGGAGUACAAGUUGUCUCUGGAACUCCUGGAAGAGUCUGUGACAUGAUCAAGAGAAGGACAUUGCGUACCAGAGCCAUUAAGUUAUUGGUUCUGGAUGAGUCUGAUGAAAUGCUGAGCAGAGGGUUUAAAGACCAAAUUUAUGAUGUAUAUCGAUAUCUCCCACCAGAACUUCAGGUUGUCUUGAUUUCUGCU